UACGUAGGGUGCGAGCGUUAAUCGGAAUUACUGGGCGUAAAGGGUGCGCAGGCGGUUUUGUAAGCCCGAUGUGAAAGCCCCGGGCUUAACCUGGGAAUGGCAUUUGGGACUGCAAGGCUAGAGUGUGGCAGAGGAGACUGGAAUUCCUGGUGUAGCAGUGAAAUGCGUAGAUAUCAGGAGGAAUACCGAUGGCGAAGGCAGGUCUCUGGGCUGACACUGACGCUCAUGCACGAAAGCGUGGGGAGCAAACAGG
This 253-nucleotide ribosomal RNA is filed under the name uncultured bacterium. RNAcentral's name for it is "partial 16S ribosomal RNA". It matches the Rfam family "Bacterial small subunit ribosomal RNA", at positions 524 to 776 of the family's 1533-position model. The record is from RNAcentral.